UACGUAGGGGGCAAGCGUUGUCCGGAUUUAUUGGGCGUAAAGAGCGUGUAGGCGGCUAGGUAGGUCCGUUGUGAAAACUCGAGGCUCAACCUCGAGCUGUCGAUGGAAACCAUUUGGCUAGAGUCCGGAAGAGGAGAGUGGAAUUCCCGGUGUAGCGGUGAAAUGCGCAGAUAUCGGGAGGAACACCGGUGGCGAAGGCGGCUACCUGGCCCACUCUUGACGCUGAGGCGCGAAAGCUAGGGGAGCAAACGGG
RNAcentral lists this ribosomal RNA (253 nucleotides) under uncultured bacterium. RNAcentral's name for it is "partial 16S ribosomal RNA". It matches the Rfam family "Bacterial small subunit ribosomal RNA", at positions 524 to 776 of the family's 1533-position model. The record is from RNAcentral.